This 206-nucleotide ribosomal RNA is filed under the name uncultured bacterium. RNAcentral's name for it is "partial 16S ribosomal RNA". It matches the Rfam family "Bacterial small subunit ribosomal RNA", at positions 568 to 774 of the family's 1533-position model. The record is from RNAcentral.
UGCGCAGGCGGUUUCUUAAGUCAGAUGUGAAAGCUCCGGGCUUAACCUGGGAACUGCGUUUGAAACUGGGAGACUUGAGUGUGGCAGAGGGGGGUGGAAUUCCACGUGUAGCAGUGAAAUGCGUAGAUAUGUGGAGGAACACCAAUGGCGAAGGCAGCCCCCUGGGUUAACACUGACGCUCAUGCACGAAAGCGUGGGAGCAAACA